RNAcentral lists this ribosomal RNA (468 nucleotides) under uncultured bacterium. Its description in RNAcentral is "bacterial SSU rRNA". It matches the Rfam family "Bacterial small subunit ribosomal RNA", at positions 28 to 507 of the family's 1533-position model. The record is from RNAcentral.
GAUGAACGCUGGCGGCGUGCAUAACACAUUCAAGUCGAACGGACGAAGCGGGAGCUUGCUCCUGCCAAGUUAGUGGCGGACGGGUGAGUAACGCGUGAGCAACCUGCCUUGUUAAGCGGGAUAACACAGGGAAACCGGUGCUAAUACCGCAUAAUGUAUUCAUAACGCAUGUUGAGAAUACCAAAGGAGCAAUCCGAAACAAGAUGGGCUCAUGUCUGAUUAGCUAGUUGGUGAGGUAACGGCUCACCAAGGCUGCGAUCAGUAGCCGGACUGAGAGGUUGAACGGCCACAUUGGGACUGAGAUACGGCCCAGACUCCUACGGGAGGCAGCAGUGGGGAAUAUUGCACAAUGGGCGAAAGCCUGAUGCAGCGACGCCGCGUGAGGGAAGACGGUUUUCGGAUUGUAAACCUCUGUCUUCGGGGACGAAAAUGACGGUACCCGAGGAGGAAGCCACGGCUAACUACGUG